This 495-nucleotide ribosomal RNA is filed under the name uncultured bacterium. RNAcentral's name for it is "partial 16S ribosomal RNA". It matches the Rfam family "Bacterial small subunit ribosomal RNA", at positions 28 to 505 of the family's 1533-position model. The record is from RNAcentral.
GAUGAACGCUGGCGGCGUGCCUAAUACAUGCAAGUCGAGCGAACAGACGAGGAGCUUGCUCCUCUGACGUUAGCGGCGGACGGGUGAGUAACACGUGGAUAACCUACCUAUAAGACUGGGAUAACUUCGGGAAACCGGAGCUAAUACCGGAUAAUAUAUUGAACCGCAUGGUUCAAUAGUGAAAGACGGUUUUGCUGUCACUUAUAGAUGGAUCCGCGCCGCAUUAGCUAGUUGGUAAGGUAACGGCUUACCAAGGCGACGAUGCGUAGCCGACCUGAGAGGGUGCUCGGCCACGCUGGACCUGAGACACGGUCCAGACUCCUACGGGAGGCAGCAGUAGGGAAUCUUCCGCAAUGGGCGAACGCCUGACGGAGCAACGCCGCGUGAGUGAUGAAGGUCUUCGGAUCGUAAACCUCUGUUAUUAGGGAAGAACAAAUGUGUAAGUAACUAUGCACGUCUUGACGGUACCUAAUCAGAAAGCCCCGGCUACCUCCG